Molecule: long non-coding RNA, 1964 nt
Organism: Corticium candelabrum
Lineage: Eukaryota; Metazoa; Porifera; Homoscleromorpha; Homosclerophorida; Plakinidae
Exons: 3
Source: RefSeq, a predicted model, not a curated record
AUAGUUGAAGAAGCGGUCGACCAUGUUCUCAUUGAAGUAAGGCGUGAAGAAGAAGAGACUUCGGAAAGCGAAGAAGCCUUUGUUUCUGGAACAGAUGACCCCUGUAGUGAUUAGAAUACCACAAUUGACCUGGCCAGUCUACGGAACUACCUCUCGCGUUAUGUUCCAAAUGAAGACCCGGAUAAGCCCUAUCCUUCUCUAAUGCCAAGUCCCGUAUAACAGGACCUGGCGAAGUCCCUACUUCACGGGUGAUGAACACUCUCAGUAGAGCCUUCCUUCACCAGUUGCUGUCGUUGGUAGUGAAAGGAAGUCUAGAGGCGUCGAUUUGACAAUGUAGGGCGUGUGUCAGACUGCUUGACUUCGUGGAAAGACGGCGAAAGUUGGGGUGACUUGUCGCUGUGGCGACCGUAGCGCCUUCCUUUGUCAAUUUUGUCCACGGAAAGGCCCCGGCCAGCAACCCAAUGUUGAUCACCCUACGUGCACAGAAUAGGAUGAGGAACAUGGCGCUUAGCGACCGGAAGUUUGUGGUUUUCAAGUCGUCGUUAUUGCCCGGUGAUUCAUCGUUUUCAAGGUAUCCUCCUGUCCAUCUCCAUUGCUUGUCGAGGAGUUGGUCUCACAGCGCUCUUGAUUUGUUUGAGGCAUUUAAUGACUUGAAAGUGGUGUGGCUCGUUGUGCGUGUAGCAGCCGUUUUUUCUCCUUAUUUUUGAGAAUGAGCAGAGAAAGUUCCGGUUUCACUCCACCGUCAAAAAAGGGUAGGAAAUCUUUGCUUUGCGCUGGCCAUGUGUGCGGAUCUUGCCAGGUAUGGUUCCAACUAGGUAGCCCGUCGACUGUUGCACAUCUUCACAGCAGUGAAGACAUUAGACACCCUGCGACUGAGAAAAAAGCACCUCAAUUUUCUACUUACCUUUCCAUGGGCAGAGACGUCCAAUUUCAAUUGGGCUCUGACAGUUGCCUCUGUAAGGCGUGCUACACAGAUUGCUUGAGGCAUGCUCCAAAAAUGAUAGAAAGGCCAAGAUGGCAAAAACAUAGUCAACUAUGGCAUUGCCCUUGUGUGAUAAAGAGUCCGACAAAGAUUGCAUGUGCAAAGACAUUUCUUCUUGGCACCUUCUGUCUGAUUUAAUAGAUGCACAGCCAGAAAUGCUGAAAGUCUAUUUUAAUCUGCAUGUUGAUUUUGAUUCAUGACUUCGAAAGAUAAAGCUUUAUUUUUUAGUUAUGGGUGAUUUCUCAUUGCACAUGUGCAGUAAACGUAUACUGUAAUCUGCCCCAUGUGUUUGCCCUACUGAAGUUUGAAUGCCCAGUUGAUUUCGCACCGAGGCAUCAGCACCCCUGGUGCUAUUACUAUUAGCACCUGGUGCUAUUACUAUUAGCACAGGUAAUAGGUCUUGUGGACUGUUCAAAGACUAGACAGAUUUGGGUGGGUCAAUGAAGUCCUGGAUGUUGCAUGGCAACACAUCAGAUGUGUGACCUGCUCCUGUUUUGCUAUGAAAGUCUCAUUUGUUACUGUAUUUAUUCAAAGGUUGUGUGUGUUGACCUGACCGUCUCUUGUGUUUAUAUACUGUUUGACGUUGACACUGCUGGUAAGUACUUUGAUCAAAUGUCAAUAACACUGUUGCUUAGAAAUGUUCUGUGGCAGGCAGCAGAUCCUUCCUGAAUUGGCUCAUGGUCACAGCACACAACUGAAGCUGCACAAAGGGCAAUCACUGUGAAGAUUCCUAGGUCGACAGCAGAAUCAGUAGGACAUGCUUUACUCUGCGUAGAUCACUACGGGAGACUUACCUGUUGGGGUGUGGUGCCUCCAAAGAAUAGAAACUUGUCCAUAACUUUCUUACGCAGGGCUGUGGAAGAAAAUAGAAAAUACUGGACUGUUGGCAAGGCACUGCCACUGUUAACAUACAAUUAGAAUUGUCGCUGUCUUCUACAAUUGAGAAUAUACAGACCUGUUGUCUUGUCUGCUGACUACAAGA